UGGGGAAUCUUGCGCAAUGGGCGAAAGCCUGACGCAGCAACGCCGCGUGGGGGAUGAAUGCCUUCGGGUUGUAAACCCCUUUCAGCAGGAACGAAUCUGACGGUACCUGCAGAAGAAGGUCCGGCCAACUACGUGCCAGCAGCCGCGGUAACACGUAGGGACCAAGCGUUGUCCGGAUUUAUUGGGCGUAAAGCGCUCGUAGGCGGUUUGGUAAGUCGGGUGUGAAACCUCCAGGCUCAACCUGGUGACGCCACCCGAUACUGCUAUGACUUGAGUUCGGUAGGGGAGCGGGGAAUUCCUGGUGUAGCGGUGAAAUGCGCAGAUAUCAGGAGGAACACCGGUGGCGAAGGCGCCGCUCUGGGCCGAAACUGACGCUGAGGAGCGAAAGCGUGGGGAGCGAACAGG
Molecule: ribosomal RNA, 405 nt
Filed under: uncultured bacterium
Lineage: Bacteria
Description: bacterial SSU rRNA
Rfam family: Bacterial small subunit ribosomal RNA
Source: RNAcentral